Molecule: long non-coding RNA, 1326 nt
Filed under: Equus caballus (horse)
Lineage: Eukaryota; Metazoa; Chordata; Mammalia; Perissodactyla; Equidae
Description: lncRNA (ENSECAG00000051001.1)
Source: RNAcentral
GCCGGUUAGAACUUUCAAUCCCCGCCUCCCGCCCUGAUCCCCCACAUCCGGGGAGGGGAGAGAGGCCAAUGGCCAUUGGCCAAUGGCCAAUGAUUUAAUCAAUCAUACCUAUGUAAUGUGGUCUCCAUAAGAGCCCAAGAGGAGAGGGUUUAGAAAACUUCCAGACUGGUGAACAUGUGGAGAUUGGGGAGAGUGGAGCACCUGGAGAAGACGUGGAAGCUAAGUUUUUCCCCCAUAUCUUGCCCUAGGCGUCUCUUCCAUCUGGCUGUUCCUGAGUUAUAUCCUUUUAUAAUAAGCCAGUGAUCUAGAUCAUUGGGACAGUUGGAGAAACAGAUCAAGCUUCCAGGAACAAUACCUUGAGGCACGCCACAGACCGGGAGGGAGUUGUUGUCUGUCACCACCACAAACUCCAGAACCACUCCACAGAUCUGUCCUGAGGAGGAAGCGGCCACCGCCACUGCCACUGACUCCAUAACCGUAUUUCACGGAUUAGAGAGGAGACUCCAUCACUACCUCUACCUCUGGCGCCAUUCAUACCAUCAAAACAUGAAUUUCCCAUGCAGACCCUAUUUUCCCGCAGGGCUGAAACCAGACUUCUAGGAAGCAUUGAAUAAUCAAGACACAGGAAGAGCAGAGGUGCAGCUGGGUUAUGAGUACUUCGAGCCAGGGACCAGAAGGUACAGGCAACAGGAUUAAAGAAGAGGGAAUCCAAAGAGGAUGGCCCUUUGAUGUCAGGCAACCUGGUUACCAUCUCGGAAGGCUCUAAUCACCUGUCUGAGCUUGGCACAGAUCUCUGAUGCCUGAGGGAGAAACUGGCAAGAAUACGAUCAGAACCAAAGCAGAUGCCUGUCCUGAGAAAAGGGAACAUAAUUUUUAGUGAUCUCGAAUGUUCAGGCAGCACUUCAGUCUCCUGCUAGUCACUGUGGGAGAUUUCCAGAUCUAGUCAGUAUCAAGAGACUCUGAGGGGAACAAUGCAGGAGAGCCGCCUCCAGCCUGGCUGUGAUAGCCCUCCCCACAUCUGGAAAAAAUAAAAAAGCAUUUCCUUCUUUCUACAUAACAAACAGUCAAUCAUUUUGAAUGGGUGUUGUUUCAGGACUUCAACUAUUCGCCAUUUUUUUCCUCACUGUUUGAUGCCUGGAGUUUUUUUUUCCUUUGCUUCGCUGGUAGAUACUUUAAGAAAUAUUCCUCAUUGCCUGAAGGCUGACUCCUUGACAUAUUUUGCACAAAUGUGUGUGUGUGCAUAGAAUCACACACUUGGGGGUGUCUUAGCUGUUGACACCUUAAGGCUCAAAGGGAGGGAGAUGGUGAUGGCUCUCAGAGGUCAGG